UCUCCAGCUGUUUUUGGACUACAAUUCCCAUCAUCCCUGACCACGGGUCCUGCUAGCUAAGGGAUGAUGGGAGUUGUAGUCUAAAAACAGCUGGAGA
This 97-nucleotide microRNA precursor is filed under the name Podarcis lilfordi (Lilford's wall lizard). The record is from RNAcentral. Lineage: Eukaryota; Metazoa; Chordata; Lepidosauria; Squamata; Lacertidae.